RNAcentral lists this unclassified non-coding RNA (431 nucleotides) under soil metagenome. Its description in RNAcentral is "partial contains 5.8S ribosomal RNA, internal transcribed spacer 2, and large subunit ribosomal RNA". The stretch from base 1 to 120 matches the Rfam family "5.8S ribosomal RNA", at positions 35 to 154 of the family's 154-position model. The record is from RNAcentral.
GAUGAAGAACGCAGCGAAAUGCGAUACGUAAUGUGAAUUGCAGAAUUCAGUGAAUCAUCGAAUCUUUGAACGCAUAUUGCGCUCUCUGGUAUUCCGGAGAGCAUGCUUGUUUGAGUAUCAGUAAACACCUCAACUUCCAUAUCUUUUUUGAAAUGGGAGUUGGACUUGAGUGAUCCCAACGCUUUUCCUCACCGAAAAGUGGCGGGUUACUUGAAAUGCAGGUGCAGCUGGACUUUUCUCUGAGCUAUAAGCAUAUCUAUUUAGUCUGCCUAAAAAACAGAUUAUUACCUUUGCUGCAGCUAACAUAAAGGAGAUUAGUUCUUGUGCUGACUGAUGCAGGAUUCACAAAGACAGGCUUCGGCCGACUUUGUAAACUCGAUCUCAAAUCAAGUAAGACUACCCGCUGAACUUAAGCAUAUCAAAAGCGGAGA